CACAAACAUCAGAUACAGAGACGGAAACCCAGGUACAAAAUGAGGGGCCAAUUACUGAAUCCAGAAUGAAAACUCUGCUGGAAAAAUUAAACACAUCUCUGUUACACCAAUUUAAAGAGGUCAUAGCAAAUUUAAAUAAGGAUGUGGCAGAACUGGGCGAACGCACUUCACAUAUAGAAAAUAAAAUGGCGGAGCACGCAGAGGCCCAUAACAGCAUGGCUGACGCUAUGCAAGAAUUGGAACAUAAACUCCAAGCCCACGAAGACAAGCUCAUUGACCUAGAAGAUCGUUCCAGGAGGAACAACGUGCGCCUGAGAGGCGUCCCAGAAGAAAUAGAUGGCAAACAGCUGCUUCAAUAUACUACAACAUUUUUUGCUAAACUCAUACCGGAGGUAGACCCAGAGCUUCUGAUUAUAGACCGCAUACACAGAGUCGGGAGGCCAAAACAUAUCCCGAUCUCAUCGCCACGCGACGUGUUAAUGAGGAUUCACUAUUUCCACGUUAAGGAUCAAAUUAUGAAAGCUAGCCGGAAAAACCGACCCUUGGCAGAAUACAAAGCGCUUCAAAUUUACGCAGACCUUUCCCCUGCCACUCUAAUGCAACGCAGGAACCUAGCGCCCAUCACAACCGCUCUACGGGCGCAAAGCGUGCCUUAUCGCUGGGGAUUCCCCACCAGGAUCCAAGUGCUCAAAAAUGGAAUUAUCCACUCAAUCAAAACGGUGGAAGAAGGACGUAAACUCCUGAGGGACUGGGACAUUCCAUUACAGGAGCGGAAUCAACCACCGGCACCCGGCCCUAAACGGCUAAGCCCUGAGUGGCAAAAAGCACCGUGACCUGCACCGAAACAAUCAGGACAUUAUAUAUUCUAAGAUGGAGAAGGAACGAGGGUGUCUUAUGGGUAAUGUAACUAGUGUUGUUGCAUUUCAUGUUUAGGUGGGUAUGCGGUGUUACACACCUGGGGCUGGGGUGAGGGCUACUCAAAUAGCACAGGCCCCGGAGGGAAAGGGCAGGGUUGCAGCGAUGCCAAUUCCCAACAGGGGAAGAGCUAGAUAUAUUGCCUCACAGGCAAUAUCAGUUCCCACAAAGUUAUGGGUUUUUGGGCAUAAUAUAUAAAAAAAAAAAAAUCAUACUAGAUAAAUAGAAACUGGUGACAGGGACAACAGCCUCGAUGGGAGGUAGAAAAGACGUAUUCUUAAUUGCAGUAAUAGAGUUUUAGCCGACACCGGUGGAAUGGGUUCGAACACUGGCAGAGGCUACCUUUACCACGACCCCUGAUAGUUGCCUAGGCCCACAGGAAGGCAACUCCAGACCCCUAGGGGUCAACUCUUGGGCCAUUAUAUGUGUUAUAUAUGUUGUUUUACUGUAUAUAAGUUAUACCCUGUUAUGUUGUUCUACUCCCCCACCCUGUACUCACUCCCAACACUCUCGCAAAUCUAUAACAAAGGUGCUCAUACCCAACCCAGAAAAACUACGACGACACCCAGAUAUCUCAGCCACCCACAUAAACAUUCAUGAAAAUAGUCACGUAUAAUGUUAAGGGGCUGAACACCCAACAUAAACGUACCCUCCUGUACAGAG
RNAcentral lists this long non-coding RNA (1578 nucleotides) under Pelobates cultripes (western spadefoot toad). Lineage: Eukaryota; Metazoa; Chordata; Amphibia; Anura; Pelobatidae. The record is from RNAcentral.